Suricata suricatta (meerkat) is the source of this 1393-nucleotide long non-coding RNA. RefSeq lists it as uncharacterized. NCBI's taxonomy places the organism in Eukaryota, Metazoa, Chordata, Mammalia, Carnivora, Herpestidae. The transcript is spliced from 4 exons. The record is from RefSeq and is a predicted model, not a curated record.
ACUCCUGACUGUGGCUCAGCCUCCCUAACCCUAAACCGAUGGACACUUUUCUCCUCUCUGGCUUCCUCAGCCAACAGCCCUCCUUCUGAAGCCGAAGGUUCCCUCGUGGCAAUGGAACUUUGAGACAGCCCACUGUUGUGACAUGGGCCACUGUUCCGCUCCACUAGAUGGCUGCUCACCUGUCCUGGCUCAAGCGAGGAGCUGCUUCAAAGCACAUAAUUCUGUCCUGUGGCUGGACCCCGACUGCACAGGGGUCUGCUUUCACUUCUGUGAGGCCUCAAUACAGAACACUCUCAGUCUCCUCUGUUUCUGGAUCCGGCUAAACUGUGAGAUCAUAUGGGACGAGGCUCGGUGACCAAGGGUGGGAGAAGGGCCUAGGCGCAGUCCAGCCCUUUCAGGGUCACAUGCCUCCUCUCCCCACGGGCCAUUCUGCUGACCCGACCAUCAACAGGAGCAAAGCAGCCAUUGCUUCAGAGAUGGAGCCCACCACAGAAUGGAACAGCUGUGUCCCGGGGCCUCCCCACAUGAGGCAAGGCGGCUCCCAGGCCCUGAGGGUGAUGGUUGGGGACCAUGGAUACAUGGUACAGAGGGAAUCUCUAGGAGAAAUCAAUCUCUUGGCAGAUUUAGACCCUCCCUUGGGACAGAAUAUACAGCAAGAUACAGAUCCACAGAGCAUCUGCCGUCAGCUGGGCGGAGGUCUCCUCUUUCCAUGUACCACGUGGACUGCCUUACAAAGACUUCUCCUCUCCCUUCCCUGCUCGGAUCCACUGAGUCUCACCCCACCCCAAUGGCGCUGCCUAUGACAAGAUGAAGCCAUCUGUUCACCUGCAGAGGCCCCCUCUGAGGAGCAGCGGCAAAGGGACUCACCGGGAAGGUGGCACACCACCGGGAUGCCCAGUUUCCUGAGGUCGUCUGCGUUGCCGACACCGGAGAGCAUGAGCAGCUGCGGAGAGUUGAUGGCGCCCCCGCUCAGAAUCACCUCCUUGCUGGCGUAAGCCUGGAAGAGGCAGAGGCACACAGGUCACAUGUCCUGAAAGCCAGAAAGAACCCCAAGAGCGUGGCCUUGGUGUGAUGUCCCCAAGUGGUGGGUGGGGACCGGUUCUAGGCCCCAGAGAAAGGAAGGAGAUGCUUAGCUGCUCUAUGAAGGCGCUCGCGGGCGCGGGUGCGACACAGCGCUUCACAUGCUGAUGCAUUCUGCAACAGCCACGCUGUAACGAUGGUCUUAAAAACGCGGCAGCUUCAGUAAAGCAAGCAGUGACCCAGAUCUUCACAUAGGUGCAGAAUGAUCCUGACACACUGCUAUGUGGGGAACAGCGUAGCGCUGGGGGCACCCGGGUGGCUCAGUCAGUUAGGCAUCUGGCUCUUGAUUUUGGCUUAGGUCAUGACCUCACAG